Molecule: long non-coding RNA, 924 nt
Organism: Zophobas morio
Lineage: Eukaryota; Metazoa; Arthropoda; Insecta; Coleoptera; Tenebrionidae
Exons: 2
Source: RefSeq, a predicted model, not a curated record
UAUAAUUUUACUUUCUAAUGGCAGCAUUACGGCCACUAGCACAGUAUAGACAGAGUGUUCUGUGUAUAGACUGGUAUAGAUAUCAAAAUCCCCAAAAUAUGACAGUUGAUUUCGUAUUUUCAUCUUUCAUCACAACAAACAAUCAUACCACAGUUUUUGGAUGAUAUAUUAGUGCUGUGACAUUGGCUCACAUUAGGUUGUAUAUGUCUGUGGACUUGUUUUUUUUUAUAUUUGUUAUUAAUAAUGACAGAAAGACAUGUGUUAACAAUAGGGGCAAUUACCUUUUUUUUUUGUUGACGAUCGGAGAUGCAUUGUGAACUGAGAAAAUUCUUUGCAGUCAAAUAAUGUAGUGAAAGUCAAUUGGUAUACUGAAUUAAAUGUGCUUGAAGAGUUUAUUCGAGCUAGAAUGCGAAAUAGCCAGGUAUAAGGUUAUUAUAUUCCUUAAGAGAGGCAACAUGUGAAACCCCAAGAGAUGCAUUUUGUAUGUCACCAUAUGGCUACACUUGCCCUACAUGGACGUUAUAAUGUAGGUAUUUUGGACCAAUAAUUUGCGUUCUUGGGACGUACAUCUGAAGAAAAGUGAAUCAGCUGAGGUCAGAGCUGUUGUCGCUGAAAAUUCUUUUAAUCCCCAAGCCAGCCUAAAAACAGCUAAUGUAGAGGUAAAACUUCAUGAAAGCUUACGACAAACUGAUGGGAGCGAAGCACUGCUUUGGCUAUUGGGUCCUGAACUAGAAAGAUCUGGAGAAAAUCUACUUCACAGUGUCGAAGAACUAUUAGUGUCGGAGGACUAUUUAAAUGGCCCAUCAAGAAAACAGUUUGUGGGUCAGUUUUUCACCAAAAGUGAAUCAGAUUUUGCAUUAGGAAGUGCAAUUUUUUAUUGUAAAAUACUUUUUUUUUUUGUUUUGAAAUAAAUUGUUCUUUAAA